AUGCUACAAAACCCAGCUCAUGUACCUAAGAAAGGUCGGCCAACUGAAAGAGAGAAGAGGAAGAAGACUCUGGUGGAGCAGCGAGAUGAUAAGCAGAAGAAGAAGUCGAAACAAGAAGAGAAGAAGCCAAUGGCAGCAGUGAAGCCAAAAUCUGAAAAAAGGAGUAUUCGCUGCAAGUUCUGCAAAGAAGAAGGUCACAACAUGCAGACGUGUGGACCCCUAAAAGCUGCGACAGAGGCAACGACAGCACCACCUACAUGUCAAUUCUGCUCCGAGGUGGGACAUGCUGUGCCAACUUGUGCAUACUCGAGAGCCAUGAUGACAAAUGAUCCAAGAAAUGCCCAAGCAACGCAACUCAACCUCUAG
RNAcentral lists this ribosomal RNA (366 nucleotides) under Triticum aestivum (bread wheat). RNAcentral's name for it is "partial small subunit ribosomal RNA". Lineage: Eukaryota; Viridiplantae; Streptophyta; Magnoliopsida; Poales; Poaceae. The record is from RNAcentral.